Cucurbita moschata (crookneck pumpkin) is the source of this 414-nucleotide long non-coding RNA. RefSeq lists it as uncharacterized. The record is from RefSeq and is a predicted model, not a curated record. The transcript is spliced from 2 exons. Lineage: Eukaryota; Viridiplantae; Streptophyta; Magnoliopsida; Cucurbitales; Cucurbitaceae.
GAGUUUGUUUCCGAACUUGAAUAUGUUCAAUUGAACAAAUCAUCUUUAGGUCAUACUUUGCUCCAAGUCCCUAAUUCAGAGGAUGCAGGAGGAACAAAGCGAUAAAAGAGAGUGAACGUGCUGCUGGAAACAAUAUUUUUUAUGGCAAAGUUGGGAUAUUAUGCCUACUCAAAUAACAGACACUUAAGAAAGGUAGCUUGCUCCUAAGAAGAUAAUGCACUAGAAAGGUAUCGGCUGCUCAACUUGUUAAAAAAGUUGGAUGAACAAAGCUUGGACACUGUUAUUGUCUCUAUUCUUUUGUAGAUUUUAGUAAUGUAUUUCCGUUUCUUAAAACUUAUGUACAUCUAAUUAAAUACACUGUAAAUACAUUAUAAUAUCUCUUGAGUUAGAUUAUAUUAAAGAAAAUAUUGUUGA